Pelobates cultripes (western spadefoot toad) is the source of this 210-nucleotide non-coding RNA. NCBI's taxonomy places the organism in Eukaryota, Metazoa, Chordata, Amphibia, Anura, Pelobatidae. The record is from the annotation of a GenBank genome assembly.
GGAUGUUCCCAAAGUGCUGUAUCAAAGCACAUUAAUAGAAAGUUAUGUGGAAGGGAAAAGUGUGGAAGAAAAAGGUGCACAAGCAGCAGGGAUGACUGCAGCCUGGAGAGGAUUGUCAGGAAAAGGCCAUUCAAAAGUGUUGGGGACUUUCACAAGGAGUGGACUGAGGCUGGAGUCAGUGCAUCAAGAGCCACCACACACAGAUGGAUC